This 400-nucleotide unclassified non-coding RNA is filed under the name Hevea brasiliensis (rubber tree). Lineage: Eukaryota; Viridiplantae; Streptophyta; Magnoliopsida; Malpighiales; Euphorbiaceae. The record is from RNAcentral.
GCAGCACCUAGAAUAACACAAUUAUCAAGUGUAGAUCCGAAAUCAGCCCUCCAUUUCAGAAGCACCCCAUCAUCAAUACCCAAUUCCCCACUAGGCAACUCGAUCCGUAAAAACCGAAUUUCGUUAAAAUUCUUAAGAACCUGAGUAGGGGAAUGAUGGGUAACACCACCCUGAUCCAUUUCCCCUUCAUCCUCAUUACCAACGGAAAGGGAAGAAAACGACGACGCAGAACUCGAUGAAGAAGAAAAAAACCCAUUCCGCGAAGGNNNNUCAUCUCUCUCCUUGGUCCAAGCAGCUGACCAAGAGCCUGGAAAGGCUUAACAAAGCCACCAAAGACCAACCGAAAAAUAGACGAGAGCCCAGAAGACGAACUGGAAGACCGAGAUUUCUCAGAGGAAGA